Molecule: small nucleolar RNA, 80 nt
Organism: Dipodomys ordii (Ord's kangaroo rat)
Lineage: Eukaryota; Metazoa; Chordata; Mammalia; Rodentia; Heteromyidae
Product: predicted gene, 23008
Source: Ensembl
GGGUGUGCGGCUGAUGACGUUGAUGCUGCUGAGACCUCGUGAUGGCUCAGCCUCAAAGUAAACGCGCUGACGCACUGUGG